This 112-nucleotide small nucleolar RNA is filed under the name Meriones unguiculatus (Mongolian gerbil). RNAcentral describes it as "Small nucleolar RNA SNORA17 (ENSMUGG00000013376.1)". The record is from RNAcentral. Lineage: Eukaryota; Metazoa; Chordata; Mammalia; Rodentia; Muridae.
CCUGCCCUUGAGUCAUUGACGAUGUGCCUGCAGUGUCACAUGUGCAGUACUAGGUGGCAAGAGGAAAGAGGUGUUGGCUACAAUCACUUGUCUGACCUAUGAACAUAACAUU